CGAAUUUGGGAGUUAGAGGUUGGAGCUUACAGAUUCGAAGGUGUAUGAAAGUCGCCGGAGAGAAGGUAAAAGAUGAGAGAGAGAUCGGAGGAGAGUGGUUUUAAUGCGAAGAUGAGUUGACUAACGGCACCAUCAUUGAGGAUUUUUGAAGCCAUCGAUGCGCUGAGAUUUGUUUGGAUGUGGGUGGAAUAAGUGAUCAGAGAAUCGGAGAGGAAGUUAUAUAUUGAGAACCUGAGUGAAUCUGAAGAGUUAUAUGCUAGGUGAAACGAAUUCAUUAAGAGGGGAUUAAAGAAAUCUAUUGAUCGUUGAAGAAAGAAGUCGUUACAGAACUUCAUCGAAGAAACGAAGGAGAAGGGUCGACUUUACGCUUUCAUAUGAAAUAGAUUUGGUGAAUAUGAACUGAUAUGAGCUUUUUUAAAAAUAUAAACAGCCCAUUUGAAAGGUGAUCACACGAAAUAUAUAAACGUGGUAUGACGUGUCAAAAUGAAAUCGUUUGAUUGGAUCAUUUUUUUGGCAGACGUGGACACGCUGAGCACUCAGGAUAUCGGCCUUUUAUUAUUGUUAGAU
Molecule: long non-coding RNA, 567 nt
Filed under: Brassica napus (rape)
Lineage: Eukaryota; Viridiplantae; Streptophyta; Magnoliopsida; Brassicales; Brassicaceae
Description: long non-coding RNA (BNAP_LNC017691)
Source: RNAcentral